Molecule: long non-coding RNA, 1971 nt
Organism: Ailuropoda melanoleuca (giant panda)
Lineage: Eukaryota; Metazoa; Chordata; Mammalia; Carnivora; Ursidae
Exons: 3
Source: RefSeq, a predicted model, not a curated record
AAGAGCCAGUCCGAGGCUGCUGAGGCAAUCCCCGUACUACAUGACGAGAGCUGAGCUCAGGCAGCGAUGGGGAAGGAAGGGAGAAGGUUUCAGGAAUGCAGAGUCAGAGCUGAGGGGAAUGUAAAUGUGAUUGGGAAGCAGGUGCUGAGGAAGAGGCGGGAAUUGAGGGUGACCAUGGCAUAUCUGGCCUGGGCACUCUGUGGCCUCCUCUGUAAAGGCAGGAGGAAGGCAGGGAGGGAGCAGGUGGAAGCUGAGGCAAUGGCAGGGGGCUCACUUGCAACAGGACCAUCUCUGGUGUGGAUGCCCUGCCCUGGACUUCAAGAAAUAGACGUGGGCUUUGGGAAAGGAUCAGUUGGCAGGAUUGGAAGAGAAGAAGAGUCAGAGAUGAAUCCCCAGGGAGACUGCAGGUAAGCAGAGGAGAGGAAAGAAGGUUUUCUAAGGAGACAGAAGGAGAAGAUCUCAGAGGGCAAAGGACCAAAGCCAGAUGAAUGGAGGGUCGUUGGUCAGUGGUCCUUUUACUGAGCGUUUCACAUGAUCUAUGAGUGUGGCAGCCCCUGAGCUGAUCUGGAUGGACUGAUCUCCAAGAAAGCAUGCAAGACAUUGAAGGGGUUCAAACAAUGCCAACCAAAUUAUGCCACUUUAGCAGAAGGAUUAUUCUGAGCUGAAGAAAAUUGAGAAGGAGCAGUUAGAAGAAAAGCCUUCUGCCUUUCCUUCAUUUGCCUCCAAACAGGACAUAAGUUUGUAAAGGAGCUCCCUCUCCCAACUAGGAAGGACAGAAGUCAAUCACCAGAGAUAACUCUAGACCCUGAUCAGCCCAGAGAUGGCCCAGAGGAGUCUACACAGCAAACCUCACUAACUAGGCUUUAUCUCCCACUAGCUCCCCAGACACUUGCCUCCCUAUAAUUUGCUGCCCUAGGAACUCAAACUCCUUUUCCUUUGUUUUAUCACCUCUCUAACAAAUGUAUUGUUCUUUUGCUAAGAUGCUUUAUAAGCCCAAGUUCUAACCACCCCUUUGAAUUACUCCUCUCUGAGUGCUGCCGUGUGUAUGCGUGAUGCUGGGGUCAGAGCUCUGAAGUUAGCUGUAUGACCCAACAGAUGGGUGGCCUCCAGGCCCCCUGUCAGCUCAGCACUGGAUGAAGGUGGACUUCAAGCACCACUAAUAGCCAGUUUCCAUGGAGAUCUUCAGAGAGGAUGACCUCAGCCAGACAUUUCAGUUUUACAGGUGAAGCUAAUGCAUUAAGAAGCUAACGGGGUUCUCAAGGCCCCAGAGUGACUUAAUGAAGCAGAUCCAGGGUCAGGCCAACUCCAGAGCUGGGAUUCCUAACACCACCAUCUGGAAAACCAGACAGAGCACAGCUGUAGAGGGCAGGGAACACUCACCCUGAAUGCGUCUGAGAGCCACUGCUAUCACUGAUGGUGCUCCCAUCUUUGAGACGUACUUAGAGGAAAUGCUUUUACAAGUCAUGGAAUGCCUGAGUUCCUCAUUAGUGCUUAAGUGCCGUGGACAUUUAUGGCUAUGACUAUUCCUUUGUCGUGAAUAUUAUCCCAUUAUAUCGAAGUGCUUUAUACACCUUAGAAGGAAGACACUACAGACUGCAAGUCCUAAUUAUUAUUAUUGCCAUUAUUACUACUACGAUUUUAAAAGUAUUUGCAGAAUGGUCCCAUUAAAGGACAGUUUAUUACGAGUUUACUGUCUUGCAUUUCUCUUUCCCGGUGUUUCCAAUGUUCUUGAUCUCUCUUACAAUGUUUUAUUUGUUCCCACUAAUGAAAAGAGAAACUAUUAAAAGCAGGCUCACAGAAUACCAAGUCAUAUAUUUAUUUUGAGUAAUCUCUUUAUAAUAACCCUAUUUCUUGCCACAACAGAAUAUAAACAUCUUGUUGAUUUUCUGUCUAAAUAUCUAUCUAAAUCAAGUAAUAUGUUUAAAGAGUCCUCAUCUGUUAACAAUUGGGCUAUUCAUAGAAAGAAAGGAA